GAAGAAAUGGCUGAGAGGUUUAAAGCGAUAGAUUGUAAAUCUAUUAGGUAAUCCCUGUCGUAAGUUCAAAUCUUACUUUCUUCA
Molecule: transfer RNA, 84 nt
Filed under: Ulnaria acus
Lineage: Eukaryota; Bacillariophyta; Fragilariophyceae; Fragilariales; Fragilariaceae
Description: tRNA-Tyr
Rfam family: tRNA
About the family: Transfer RNA (tRNA) molecules are approximately 80 nucleotides in length. Their secondary structure includes four short double-helical elements and three loops (D, anti-codon, and T loops). Further hydrogen bonds mediate the characteristic L-shaped molecular structure. tRNAs have two regions of fundamental functional importance: the anti-codon, which is responsible for specific mRNA codon recognition, and the 3' end, to which the tRNAs corresponding amino acid is attached (by aminoacyl-tRNA synthetases). tRNAs cope with the degeneracy of the genetic code in two manners: having more than one tRNA (with a specific anti-codon) for a particular amino acid; and 'wobble' base-pairing, i.e. permitting non-standard base-pairing at the 3rd anti-codon position.
Source: RNAcentral